This 238-nucleotide long non-coding RNA is filed under the name Homo sapiens (human). RNAcentral's name for it is "HSALNT0347525". The record is from RNAcentral. Lineage: Eukaryota; Metazoa; Chordata; Mammalia; Primates; Hominidae.
AUUUAAAACAGUGAGGUUUAUUUCACAUGUAUAUUUUUGUCUCCCCACCAUUUCCAUGUCUGACCACCACUACUACUAUGGCCUAUCAUAACAUUCCAUACCAAGCAAAGGGUGGAGUUGCAUCUUUAAAAACUAAACAGGUAUUUUGGACAACACAUUCUUGGCAAUGGAACCUGGACAACAUUUAUCAAACACAGUAGGGAAAGUUCUCACUCUGCAUUAUAAAAAGGACAGCCAG